Molecule: ribosomal RNA, 634 nt
Filed under: Plantibacter agrosticola (nom. nud.)
Lineage: Bacteria; Bacillati; Actinomycetota; Actinomycetes; Micrococcales; Microbacteriaceae
Description: bacterial SSU rRNA
Rfam family: Bacterial small subunit ribosomal RNA
Source: RNAcentral
AGGACGAACGCUGGCGGCGUGCUUACACAUGCAAGUCGAACGAUGAAGCCCAGCUUGCUGGGUGGAUUAGUGGCGAACGGGUGAGUAACACGUGAGUAACCUGCCCUUGACUCUGGGAUAAGCGUUGGAAACGACGUCUAAUACCGGAUACGAGCUUCCACCGCAUGGUGAGUUGCUGGAAAGAAUUUUGGUCAAGGAUGGACUCGCGGCCUAUCAGCUUGUUGGUGAGGUAAUGGCUCACCAAGGCGACGACGGGUAGCCGGCCUGAGAGGGUGACCGGCCACACUGGGACUGAGACACGGCCCAGACUCCUACGGGAGGCAGCAGUGGGGAAUAUUGCACAAUGGGCGAAAGCCUGAUGCAGCAACGCCGCGUGAGGGACGACGGCCUUCGGGUUGUAAACCUCUUUUAGCAGGGAAGAAGCGAAAGUGACGGUACCUGCAGAAAAAGCACCGGCUAACUACGUGCCAGCAGCCGCGGUAAUACGUAGGGUGCAAGCGUUGUCCGGAAUUAUUGGGCGUAAAGAGCUCGUAGGCGGUUUGUCGCGUCUGCUGUGAAAUCCCGAGGCUCAACCUCGGGUCUGCAGUGGGUACGGGCAGACUAGAGUGCGGUAGGGGAGAUUGGAAUUCCUGGU